RNAcentral lists this ribosomal RNA (445 nucleotides) under uncultured bacterium. RNAcentral's name for it is "partial 16S ribosomal RNA". It matches the Rfam family "Bacterial small subunit ribosomal RNA", at positions 354 to 796 of the family's 1533-position model. The record is from RNAcentral.
GUGAGGAAUAUUGGUCAAUGGGCGGGAGCCUGAACCAGCCAAGUCGCGUGAAGGAAGAAGGAUCUAUGGUUCGUAAACUUCUUUUGCAGGGGAAUAAAGUGCAGGACGUGUCCUGUUUUGUAUGUACCCUGAGAAUAAGGAUCGGCUAACUCCGUGCCAGCAGCCGCGGUAAUACGGAGGAUCCGAGCGUUAUCCGGAUUUAUUGGGUUUAAAGGGUGCGUAGGUGGUUUGAUAAGUCAGCGGUGAAAGUUUGCAGCUUAACUGUAAAAAUGCCGUUGAAACUGUCGGACUUGAGUGUAAAUGAGGUAGGCGGAAUGCGUGGUGUAGCGGUGAAAUGCAUAGAUAUCACGAAGAACUCCGAUUGCGAAGGCAGCUUACUAAGCUACAACUGACACUGAAGCACGAAAGCGUGGGGAUAAAACAGGAUUAGAAACCCGAGUAGUCC